This 207-nucleotide ribosomal RNA is filed under the name uncultured bacterium. RNAcentral's name for it is "partial 16S ribosomal RNA". It matches the Rfam family "Bacterial small subunit ribosomal RNA", at positions 568 to 774 of the family's 1533-position model. The record is from RNAcentral.
UGCGUAGGUGGUCAUAUUAGUCUUCUGUUAAAGGUCCGGGCUCAACCCGGGAGAUGCGGAGGAAACGGUAUGACUAGAGGGUGAGAGAGGUGUACGGAACUCACGGUGUAGGGGUGAAAUCCGUUGAUAUCGUGGGGAACACCAAAUGCGAAGGCAGUACACUGGCUCAUUCCUGACACUGAGGCACGAAAGCGUGGGUAGCGAACG